GAACGAACGCUGGCGGCAUGCCUAACCCAUGCAAGUCGAACGAGACCUUCGGGUCUAGUGGCGCACGGGUGCGUAACGCGUGGGAACCUGCCCUUAGGUUCGGAAUAACUCCCCGAAAGGGGUGCUAAUACCGGAUAAUGUCUUCGGACCAAAGAUUUAUCGCCUUUGGAUGGGCCCGCGUUGGAUUAGCUAGUUGGUAGGGUAAAAGCCUUCCAAGGCGACGAUCCAUAGCUGGUCUGAGAGGAUGAUCAGCCACACUGGGACUGAGACACGGCCCAGAUUCCUAGGGGGGGUAGCGGUGGACAAUAGGGCACAAGGGGAGGAGCCCGGAUCCACCGAGGCGGGGUGAGUGAGGUAGGACUUAGGUUUGUAAAGUUCUUGGACCAGGUAGAAUAACAAUAGGACGGGGAGAAACAGCGCCUGCAACCUCCGGGACAGCAGGGGCGAUAAUAGAGGGAGGACAACCCAUCCCAUC
RNAcentral lists this ribosomal RNA (475 nucleotides) under uncultured bacterium. RNAcentral describes it as "partial 16S ribosomal RNA". It matches the Rfam family "Bacterial small subunit ribosomal RNA", at positions 37 to 537 of the family's 1533-position model. The record is from RNAcentral.